RNAcentral lists this ribosomal RNA (253 nucleotides) under uncultured bacterium. RNAcentral's name for it is "partial 16S ribosomal RNA". It matches the Rfam family "Bacterial small subunit ribosomal RNA", at positions 524 to 776 of the family's 1533-position model. The record is from RNAcentral.
GACAGAGGGGGCGAGCGUUGUCCGGAGUCACUGGGCGUAAAGCGCACGUAGGCGGAUUGUUAAGUGAGGGGUGAAAUCCCAGGGCUCAACCCUGGAACUGCCUUUCAUACUGGCAAUCUCGAGUCCGGAAGAGGUGAGUGGAAUUCCGAGUGUAGAGGUGAAAUUCGUAGAUAUUCGGAGGAACACCAGUGGCGAAGGCGGCUCACUGGUCCGGUACUGACGCUGAGGUGCGAAAGCGUGGGGAGCAAACAGG